CUGUGCUAGGCGGGGAGCUAGCGGUGCCCUGUACCCGCAAUCCGCUACAGCGGGGCUGAAAUAUCUGUGCGGCAAUGCGCAGCGGGUCUGUAUUUAUGUAAGUAGUGUUGAUGGUCAGGACCUGCGCGGCAUCAGCCCGUGAACCCCGUCAGAACCGGAAGGUAGCAGCGGUAAGCGGUGUCUGAUGGGCGAUGCAGACUAACCUGAUCUGAGCUGGCUGCAGAUUGCAUCUCGUGAGGCUUGUCCAGCAGAUUCGUACGG
This 261-nucleotide signal recognition particle RNA is filed under the name Candidatus Fermentibacterota bacterium. RNAcentral describes it as "Candidatus Fermentibacteria bacterium signal recognition particle sRNA large type". It matches the Rfam family "Bacterial large signal recognition particle RNA". From Rfam's summary of the family: The signal recognition particle (SRP) is a universally conserved ribonucleoprotein involved in the co-translational targeting of proteins to membranes. Lineage: Bacteria; Pseudomonadati; Candidatus Fermentibacterota. The record is from RNAcentral.